Molecule: ribosomal RNA, 253 nt
Filed under: uncultured bacterium
Lineage: Bacteria
Description: partial 16S ribosomal RNA
Rfam family: Bacterial small subunit ribosomal RNA
Source: RNAcentral
UACGUAGGCAGCGAGCGUUGUUCGGAGUUACUGGGCGUAAAGAGUGCGUAGGCGGUUUUCUAAGUUUGGUGUGAAAUCUCCCGGCUCAACUGGGAGGGUGCGCCGAAGACUGGAAGGCUUGAGUAUGGGAGAGGUAAGCGGAAUUCCUGGUGUAGCGGUGAAAUGCGUAGAUAUCAGGAGGAACACCUGCGGUGCAGACGGCUUACUGGACCAUAACUGACGCUGAGACACGAAAGCGUGGGGAGCAAACAGG